Molecule: non-coding RNA, 21 nt
Filed under: Caenorhabditis elegans
Lineage: Eukaryota; Metazoa; Nematoda; Chromadorea; Rhabditida; Rhabditidae
Source: RNAcentral
UGGCUCAUAUUUGCUAAUUUC